CGAUAAAGCGGGUGAAAAGCCCGCUCGCCGGAAGACCAAGGGUUCCUGUCCAACGUUAAUCGGGGCAGGGUGAGUCGACCCCUAAGGCGAGGCCGAAAGGCGUAGUCGAUGGGAAACGGGUUAAUAUUCCCGUACUUGGUGUUACUGCGAAGGGGGGACGGAGAAGGCUAUGUUGGCCGGGCGACGGUUGUCCCGGUUUAAGCGUGUAGGUGUGUGUUCCAGGUAAAUCCGGUUCACUUUAACACUGAGGCGUGACGACGAGGCACUACGGUGCUGAAGCAACAAAUGCCCUGCUUCCAGGAAAAGCCUCUAAGCAUCAGGUAACAUCAAAUCGUACCCCAAACCGACACAGGUGGUCAGGUAGAGAAUACCAAGGCGCUUGAGAGAACUCGGGUGAAGGAACUAGGCAAAAUGGUGCCGUAACUUCGGGAGAAGGCACGCUGACACGUAGGUGAAGUGAUUUACUCAUGGAGCUGAAGUCAGUCGAAGAUACCAGCUGGCUGCAACUGUUUAUUAAAAACACAGCACUGUGCAAACACGAAAGUGGACGUAUACGGUGUGACGCCUGCCCGGUGCCGGAAGGUUAAUUGAUGGGGUCAGCGCAAGCGAAGCUCCUGAUCGAAGCCCCGGUAAACGGCGGCCGUAACUAUAACGGUCCUAAGGUAGCGAAAUUCCUUGUCGGGUAAGUUCCGACCUGCACGAAUGGCGUAAUGAUGGCCAGGCUGUCUCCACCCGAGACUCAGUGAAAUUGAACUCGCUGUGAAGAUGCAGUGUACCCGCGGCAAGACGGAAAGACCCCGUGAACCUUUACUAUAGCUUGACACUGAACAUUGAGCCUUGAUGUGUAGGAUAGGUGGGAGGCUUUGAAGUGUGGACGCCAGUCUGCAUGGAGCCGACCUUGAAAUACCACCCUUUAAUGUUUGAUGUUCUAACGUGGACCCGUUACCCGGGUUGCGGACAGUGUCUGGUGGGUAGUUUGACUGGGGCGGUCUCCUCCUAAAGAGUAACGGAGGAGCACGAAGGUUGGCUAAUCCUGGUCGGACAUCAGGAGGUUAGUGCAAUGGCAUAAGCCAGCUUGACUGCGAGCGUGACGGCGCGAGCAGGUGCGAAAGCAGGUCAUAGUGAUCCGGUGGUUCUGAAUGGAAGGGCCAUCGCUCAACGGAUAAAAGGUACUCCGGGGAUAACAGGCUGAUACCGCCCAAGAGUUCAUAUCGACGGCGGUGUUUGGCACCUCGAUGUCGGCUCAUCACAUCCUGGGGCUGAAGUAGGUCCCAAGGGUAUGGCUGUUCGCCAUUUAAAGUGGUACGCGAGCUGGGUUUAGAACGUCGUGAGACAGUUCGGUCCCUAUCUGCCGUGGGCGCUGGAGAACUGAGGGGGGCUGCUCCUAGUACGAGAGGACCGGAGUGGACGCAUCACUGGUGUUCGGGUUGUCAUGCCAAUGGCACUGCCCGGUAGCUAAAUGCGGAAGAGAUAAGUGCUGAAAGCAUCUAAGCACGAAACUUGCCCCGAGAUGAGUUCUCCCUGAGACUUAAAGUCUCCUGAAGGAACGUUGAAGACGACGACGUUGAUAGGCCGGGUGUGUAAGCGCAGCGAUGCGUUGAGCUAACCGGUACUAAU
RNAcentral lists this ribosomal RNA (1617 nucleotides) under Salmonella enterica subsp. enterica serovar Enteritidis. RNAcentral describes it as "partial 23S ribosomal RNA". It matches the Rfam family "Bacterial large subunit ribosomal RNA", at positions 1310 to 2905 of the family's 2925-position model. The record is from RNAcentral. Lineage: Bacteria; Pseudomonadati; Pseudomonadota; Gammaproteobacteria; Enterobacterales; Enterobacteriaceae.